CCCUUAGAUGUUCUGGGCCGCACACGCGCUACACUGAAGGAGGCAGCGUGUACUCCUGGAUCGAAAGAUUUGGGUAACCCGCGAAUCUCCUUCGUGCUAGGGAUUGAGGUUUGCAAUUAUCCUUCAUGAACGAGGAAUUCCCAGUAAGUGCAAGUCAUAAGCUUGCGCUGACUACGUCCCUGCCCUUUGUACACACCGCCCGUCGCUACUACCGAUUGAAUGAUUUAGUGAGGGCUUCGGACUGGGACCGAUGCGGCUUUCGGGCUGCGUCGGUAUUCUGGAAAGAUGUCCAAACUGUAUCAUUUAGAGGAAGUAAAANUCGUAACA
Molecule: ribosomal RNA, 327 nt
Filed under: uncultured eukaryote
Lineage: Eukaryota
Description: partial 18S ribosomal RNA
Rfam family: Eukaryotic small subunit ribosomal RNA
Source: RNAcentral